This 66-nucleotide transfer RNA is filed under the name Tritia cuvierii. RNAcentral's name for it is "tRNA-His". It matches the Rfam family "tRNA". From Rfam's summary of the family: Transfer RNA (tRNA) molecules are approximately 80 nucleotides in length. Their secondary structure includes four short double-helical elements and three loops (D, anti-codon, and T loops). The record is from RNAcentral. Lineage: Eukaryota; Metazoa; Mollusca; Gastropoda; Neogastropoda; Nassariidae.
GUCAAGUUAGUUUAACGAAAACGUCAGCCUGUGGAUUUGAAAAUGAAAGGUUUAUUUCACUUGACC